Molecule: ribosomal RNA, 422 nt
Filed under: uncultured Pedobacter sp.
Lineage: Bacteria; Pseudomonadati; Bacteroidota; Sphingobacteriia; Sphingobacteriales; Sphingobacteriaceae
Description: bacterial SSU rRNA
Rfam family: Bacterial small subunit ribosomal RNA
Source: RNAcentral
UAAGGAAUAUUGGUCAAUGGAGGCAACUCUGAACCAGCCAUGCCGCGUGCAGGAAGACUGCCCUAUGGGUUGUAAACUGCUUUUAUCUGGGAAUAAACCUAUUUACGUGUAGAUAGCUGAAUGUACCAGAAGAAUAAGGAUCGGCUAACUCCGUGCCAGCAGCCGCGGUAAUACGGAGGAUCCAAGCGUUAUCCGGAUUUAUUGGGUUUAAAGGGUGCGUAGGCGGCCUGUUAAGUCAGAGGUGAAAGACGGUAGCUCAACUAUCGCAGUGCCUUUGAUACUGAUGGGCUUGAAUGGACUAGAGGUAGGCGGAAUGAGACAAGUAGCGGUGAAAUGCAUAGAUAUGUCUCAGAACACCGAUUGCGAAGGCAGCUUACUAUGGUUUUAUUGACGCUGAGGCACGAAAGCGUGGGGAUCAAACA